GCAGCAACUGCGGGCCUCUUCAAAAGACGACAUAGUUGAUGAAGGCGUUCUGGAGCAGGACCAGAAAGACCACGACCAAGCAGCCUUGAGAUCUUAGGCAGCGUCUCCCUCAGGUGGAUGUCAACGGUGUUCACGGCCAGACCAAAGAACUACAGACUCUUCACAACCUGCUCAAACUCUUGGUACAGGACCUCACCACACGGGUCAAGAAGGUUUCCGUCUCAUUUCUACUCUGAAGCUCACCUUCUCCUGCUCAAACUGCUGACAAUGUUUCUGCUACUCUAAAGUCUGGUCUCCAGAACUUCCUAAAAACUCUCAAAGUCUCUUCUGCUGCAGGUUGCUUUGUAGAACUGUUCCAGAAAACCUCACUAAACCACAUGGAGGGGCCUCAAGAUAGUCGUCCAAAUGAAACUGUACAAAAACCAAACUAGCACAACCCAAACGCUAAAGUCUCCUGCAGCCUACCAGAGAACCUCUGAGAACAGAGAAUCAGGACAGGAACUCUUACCUUCUGGACAACCAACGUUGGUUCACCAACAAGAAUACAGAAUGUGUCUGACCAGAAACCUCUAAAGACUCACUACAGCCAAGAUAAAGACACAACUCAGCUGUACCAAAUCCACUAAUCACUGCACACAUUAGCACCAUGUGCUAACUGUGGCUAAAGAACCACAUUUACCAAGACAACUAUCCAGUACAAAGCCCUAAAACACACCAAGAAACACAUUAAAGACGAUUUUACUGCUGGAAGCUGCAAGCCAACGCCUAAAGAACAAACUCAAGCAAUGGAGCCAAACCCGGUUCAGUGGUGAAGCAGAGGAAAUGUUUGUCUGCAGCUAAAUAAAGCAGGAAGACACUGAGCUGCUCAGGUGUUCCUGAUAACACCAAGCAGCCACCUGGACAGCCAAUAGGAACACAGCUUCCUGGAAGUCCAGAGGGCUGGCUUAGUGAAGGAAAUUUAGUUUAAAGUUGAAGCAGAAAGUUAACAAAGAAAGUUGAAAACCACCUUCUGAUACCUGAAAUCUCUGAGUUUUCACACAAAGAACACCUGAACAUGUCAAACUGGUUCCAUAGUAGAACCAUCAUUGUAAAAACAUCAUAGUAUAUAUACUAUGACUGUGGUCUCUAAUUUUAUCUCUGGAUUCCAUCGUUUCCUCUCACCGUUCAUAAAAAUAUGCGUUUUUUUUUCGCCAGCACAUUUCUUUUUACUGUCUGCAGAUGUUAUUUACAUGGAUAUAGUCUUUAUUAAGUAGUGAUGCCAACGUUUUUCGGCAGGUCUUCUUUAUCUAGUAUUUUUAUUUCACACACAGUCAGGUGUGGUCAGGACGAAUCUGCGACGAAACAUCUGGAGAUGGAAACUAUCAACGGUUCACCUGAUGAAACUGGAAUCGCCAGAGUUCUUCACAUUUUAAUACUUAAAAAUACUUACUUGGAAUAACGAAGCAGUUUUGUUCAUACUGAGAUCAUGAGCUCUCAUUGUGAUGCGUUGACUUCCUCCAAAUAACACAAACAUGUCUUCGUUGCGGAGUUUGGUACAGAGAAGUGAAGUCAAGUCGCCACGAGUUCUGACUUUGGUUUCCGGUUCUGCCGGCAGCUUCCAAAUGGGAAAAAGCUUUUUCUUUUGUUUAAACCUUAAAAUUUGUAAAAACGCACGGUUUUUUUCUUUCUCUACUUUUUGUUUUUCGAAUUUAAUUUUUAAACGAAAAAACAAAAAAACAUC
Molecule: long non-coding RNA, 1720 nt
Organism: Amphiprion ocellaris (clown anemonefish)
Lineage: Eukaryota; Metazoa; Chordata; Actinopteri; Pomacentridae
Exons: 2
Source: RefSeq, a predicted model, not a curated record